ACUGUGGAGGGGCAGGAGCUGGACUGGAUGAUCCUUGUGGGUCCUUUCCAACUCAGGCUAUUCCCUUCCAUUCCCUUCCAUUCCCUUCCAUUCCCUUCCAUUCCCUUCCCUUCCAUUCCCUUCCCUUCCAUUCCCUUCCAUUCCAUUCCAUUCCAUUCCAUUCCAUUCCAUUCCAUUCCAUUCCAUUCCAUUCCAUUCCAUUCCAUUCCAUUCCAUUCCAUGCUGCAGUGUUUCCUGUUGGCAGCAAAUUCAUGUCUGCGUUAUUAUUCACCGGUAAUGACAUCAUCUGGAACUGAAGGAAAUCAGUUUUGGACAAGUUACUUUGUUACUGCUUCCAUUUGAGUUCAGAUUUACUUUUUAAACUUUUAAAUAUGUUGUGCUUUGAAAUGGCACAAACCCACAUAAAAGCUUUGAUAAGAAGGGAGAAGAAAAAUCUCGUCUCGGAGGUACCUCGUUUGCCAGAAUAAGACCAUAGGAGUAAAUUGUCCUACUGGGGACUGAGAGGUGGGAAGUUCUUUUGCAAGAGCACUUAGAGCUUCACUGAGAUACUAUUUCAUUUGUCUUCCUCAGCUGGAUUAAAGUUUGUGAGCUUGGUUGUUGUAUUUUUAAACAGGGAAACGUUAAAGGUGUAAGCAGGGAAGUGCUGGUGGCUCCUGGCACUGGGAGCGUUGGUCUUGGCUGCCAGGCAGGGCCGCUGCCAUCCCAGGCAGGAUGCCAUGUGUUUCCCAGAAAAGAAGCUGGGAGCUUGGUUCCAUUUAAAAUGUCUGGUUACAUCAAAUUCUGAUACUUGCUGAGCUUAUGAACUCUUCCUUCCGUGUGCUCAGAGGAGAUUGGAGUCCCUCAGGUGCCUUGCCUAGACCCUUGAAGACCCCUGUGUGCUUCCUGCUGUUCUUUGCUUUAGUUCACAUUCCAGUUUGGGCAGAUUUACCUUAUGGAAUGCUGGUGUGCUGCACUGGAAGGUUGUUCACAUUUCAGCCAUGUGACUCAAAGGUGUUUGGUAUUGCCCUGCUUCCAUUCCAGCAGCUACAAGGGCAGAGAUUCCUUCUGGCUGUUGGUCAGAUCAUCGUACCCUGAACAGUUCUGUAAAUCCCACCACGUCUCCCUAGGUUAGAAUGAGCAUGAACCUCUCUUCCCUCCUCGGAAAUUCCCAGGGCUGGGGCCCCAUCCAGAGCCAUGCUGUGUUUCUCACAGGAGUAAGCUCCAGUUCACCUCCACGUCGUGAGACUGAGUCUGUGUGUUUGCUGAGCCAGGCUCAUCCGAAAAUAGGGCUUAAAAGAACAGUUUUGUAAAAUGUAGUGUUAAUUUGGAGUUAAUUAAUUUUCUAGGAAUGGCCUAUGACAUUCCUGAGGGCUUGUACUGCUGCAGCACCUGAUGGGCUGCCAGUUAUUGCAAGGCUUUGCAGGAGAUGUCUGUGGUGUCCUCGAGGAGAUGCUGUUGUGAAAGCUGUAAGGAACAACCUCCCAUGGCAGGUGUUGCUGUGGUGUAUAGGUUUGUGCUCUGUAAUUGCUGAUGAACAGUGAUAAACCCCAAACCACACAGUCCACAGCAGGAAUCUGCUCAGCAGCAGAGCCUUGGGACCUGCUUCAGUAAAUAGAGGUUCUGUUGGAGGCAAGAGGGAGAAAAGGGGCCCCAGCAUCAAACCACUUUGGCCGAUCCAUCAUCGUCAACCUGUUCCAUCACAGAGCUUGUAAAAGGGAGAGUGUGAGGGAGACCAGUGCUACCAGUCAGCUGGUAAAGUGUGUCCAGCCAGGGUGGAAUUACCAGGUGGAACAAGUCAUUAUGAGUCCAUGGGCAUAAAGGACAAGACCAGUCCAGUGCCUGGUCUCCUGGGACCCCCCUGUGAUGUGUGCCUAUUGCUGCCAUGGUUUUCUAAACAUACAGGUUUGCUUUGUUUCCCUCUAUCAAGUAUGUUAUCCAUCAUUCCCAGACACACCUGCCAUGUGUAGCAAAGGUGAAGAUGAAGCAUCUCCACAGUGGUUGUUUUCAGCAAUGGGACAGUGCUGAGCACUCUGUGGGCAGGAGGAUCCUGUACUGUCACAUGGAUGGGUUAUCCUGGAGCUCAUUUUGGAGCUUCCCCUGUGAACAUUACUGUUGGCUCAGGAUGUUUGUCAUGCAAAAUAGAACAUGAAAAGAUCUCAGCCAUCAGGAAGUUUAGGAGGAAUUGUUCUGCUGACAGAGGCUUUUGUUAGGAGUGUCCUGCGAGGAGACAGGUCUGAGGGCAUUGAGCCUGUAAGAGAGCAAAAGGUGUCUGUUCAGGUGUAUCUACCUCAAGCUGAGUAGCAGAAGAGCAGAGGUGCUGUCCCCAGAGGUGGGUGUCGUGGCUGGUGUGUUUGGCGGUUGUCGGUGGCACCUGCACGUCAGUUGAAGAUGAAACAGAAACUGUGUGUAAAGAACAGAAGGUGACCAGCAAAAGGAGCAGAGGAGAGGAGGAAAGCAACACAGACAAAACACGUGCAGAGCAGUUUGCUCACACCUGCAGGCUGCUGGAUUGCCCUGAGAGCGGGAGCUCUGUCGUCCCGGCGGUGGCCUGGGCUGGGGUGCAGUGGGUGCUGGGCAAGGCCUGCACAGUGGUGUGGUCUGCUUUGUCACCUUCCCCUGCUCCCAGGCUGGGGUGAGCCCUUCUUGGCUCCCUGAAGCUACAGUGUGGCCACCCAGCCUGGAAAAAGUUUUUACAUGUGGCCAGAUUAUUUUGUGGACCAGUGCUGCUGCUUUCAGUGGGGUUACACAAGGAAUAAACUAAAACUAAGAGAA
This is a long non-coding RNA of Pseudopipra pipra, 2751 nucleotides long. RefSeq lists it as uncharacterized. The record is from RefSeq and is a predicted model, not a curated record. Lineage: Eukaryota; Metazoa; Chordata; Aves; Passeriformes; Pipridae. The transcript is spliced from 4 exons.